UACGUAGGGUCCGAGCGUUGUCCGGAAUUACUGGGCGUAAAGAGCUCGUAGGUGGUUUGUCGCGUUGUUCGUGAAAACUCACAGCUCAACUGUGGGCGUGCGGGCGAUACGGGCAGACUGGAGUACUGCAGGGGAGACUGGAAUUCCUGGUGUAGCGGUGGAAUGCGCAGAUAUCUGGAGGAACACCGGUGGCGAAGGCGGCAUUCUGGACCGACAUUGACGCUGAGGAGCGAAAGCCAGGGGAGCAAACGGG
RNAcentral lists this ribosomal RNA (253 nucleotides) under uncultured bacterium. RNAcentral's name for it is "partial 16S ribosomal RNA". It matches the Rfam family "Bacterial small subunit ribosomal RNA", at positions 524 to 776 of the family's 1533-position model. The record is from RNAcentral.